AGAAUCAACGCUGGCGGCGUGCCUAACACAUGCAAGUCGAACGAGAAAGCUUGGGUGUAGCAAUACAUUCGGGUGAGUAAAGUGGCGAACGGGUGAGUAACACGUAGCUAACCUGCCCUUGAGUGGGGGAUAACCUGGGGAAACUCGGGCUAAUACCGCAUGACAUUCCGGCUUCACAAGGAGUUGGAAUCAAAGGCCCGCAAGGGUCACUCGGGGAGGGGCUGCGGCCGAUUAGCUAGUUGGCGGGGUAAUGGCCCACCAAGGCGAUGAUC
Molecule: ribosomal RNA, 272 nt
Filed under: uncultured bacterium
Lineage: Bacteria
Description: partial small subunit ribosomal RNA
Rfam family: Bacterial small subunit ribosomal RNA
Source: RNAcentral